AGUAACACGUGGGGAACCUGCCCCAUAGUCUGGGAUACCACUUGGAAACAGGUGCUAAUACCGGAUAAGAAAGCGGAUCGCAUGAUCAGCUUUUAAAAGGCGGCGUAAACUGUCGCUAUGGGAUGGCCCCGCGGUGCAUUAGCUAGUUGGUAAGGUAAAGGCUUACCAAGGCGAUGAUGCAUAGCCGAGUUGAGAGACUGAUCGGCCACAUUGGGACUGAGACACGGCCCAAACUCCUACGGGAGGCAGCAGUA
RNAcentral lists this ribosomal RNA (254 nucleotides) under uncultured Lactobacillus sp. RNAcentral describes it as "partial 16S ribosomal RNA". It matches the Rfam family "Bacterial small subunit ribosomal RNA", at positions 109 to 355 of the family's 1533-position model. Lineage: Bacteria; Bacillati; Bacillota; Bacilli; Lactobacillales; Lactobacillaceae. The record is from RNAcentral.